Molecule: ribosomal RNA, 465 nt
Filed under: uncultured Klebsiella sp.
Lineage: Bacteria; Pseudomonadati; Pseudomonadota; Gammaproteobacteria; Enterobacterales; Enterobacteriaceae
Description: bacterial SSU rRNA
Rfam family: Bacterial small subunit ribosomal RNA
Source: RNAcentral
CCUACGGGGGGCUGCAGUGGGGAAUAUUGCACAAUGGGCGCAAGCCUGAUGCAGCCAUGCCGCGUGUGUGAAGAAGGCCUUCGGGUUGUAAAGCACUUUCAGCGGGGAGGAAGGCGGUGAGGUUAAUAACCUCAUCGAUUGACGUUACCCGCAGAAGAAGCACCGGCUAACUCCGUGCCAGCAGCCGCGGUAAUACGGAGGGUGCAAGCGUUAAUCGGAAUUACUGGGCGUAAAGCGCACGCAGGCGGUCUGUCAAGUCGGAUGUGAAAUCCCCGGGCUCAACCUGGGAACUGCAUUCGAAACUGGCAGGCUAGAGUCUUGUAGAGGGGGGUAGAAUUCCAGGUGUAGCGGUGAAAUGCGUAGAGAUCUGGAGGAAUACCGGUGGCGAAGGCGGCCCCCUGGACAAAGACUGACGCUCAGGUGCGAAAGCGUGGGGAGCGAACAGGAUUAGAUACCCCAGUAGUC